GCUUGGCCACGCCCACCUCUGGCAACAGAGAAGCAAAGGAAGGAUAUAGCAGAAUUUGAAUUGCUGAAAAAGCUGAAGAUGAGAGGCAGGGCUAAAAAGAUCCUCAGGAAGGUCCCAGAGCCGACCUGAGCCAGACUCCCUCGGGCACAGACAGCAGGUAGGAGACGGGGAGGAUGAAGGGAGGGCAUUUCUGGGCGCCAGGUCGGCACAUCUGAGCAGCUGAAGACAGAGCGGAGGAGGAGGGCAGGGACUGUCUGGAAGUCCAAGGAUCCUGUUUGCUCCUGAGUGCCAGAGGGUGCAUGCCAGGGCCUGGAGCCCUACCCACCAGGAGCAGAGCACAGCCAGAGAGCCCGCAUUAAUAACUCCUUUGAAAUAAAAACAUGCUCUUCAGGGCAACAGAGACUGAUUCAAUAGGCAAAUAGCAGAGGGCUCUCAUUACAAUCAUAAAGAAAGGCGGGGCUGCUGACGAGUGUCAGUGUUCCAGAAAAGAA
Lontra canadensis (Northern American river otter) is the source of this 491-nucleotide long non-coding RNA. RefSeq lists it as uncharacterized. The record is from RefSeq and is a predicted model, not a curated record. The transcript has 3 exons. NCBI's taxonomy places the organism in Eukaryota, Metazoa, Chordata, Mammalia, Carnivora, Mustelidae.